AUUGAACGCUGGCGGCAGGCCUAACACAUGCAAGUCGAGCGGAUGAAGGGAGCUUGCUCCUGGAUUCAGCGGCGGACGGGUGAGUAAUGCCUAGGAAUCUGCCUGGCAGUGGGGGAUAACGUCCGGAAACGGGCGCUAAUACCGCAUUCGUCCUGAGGGAGAAAGUGGGGGAUCUUCGGACCUUACGCUAUCAGAUGAGCCUAGGUCGGAUUAGCUAGUUGGUGGGGUAAAGGCCUACCAAGGCGACGAUCCGUAACUGGUCUGAGAGGAUGAUCAGUCACACUGGAACUGAGACACGGUCCAGACUCCUACGGGAGGCAGCAGUGGGGAAUAUUGGACAAUGGGCGAAAGCCUGAUCCAGCCAUGCCGCGUGUGUGAAGAAGGUCUUCGGAUUGUAAAGCACUUUAAUUUGGGAAGAAGAGCAGUAAGUUAAUACCUUGCUGUUUUGACGUUACCAACAGAAUAAGCACCGGCUAACUUCGUG
This 484-nucleotide ribosomal RNA is filed under the name uncultured bacterium. RNAcentral's name for it is "partial 16S ribosomal RNA". It matches the Rfam family "Bacterial small subunit ribosomal RNA", at positions 30 to 507 of the family's 1533-position model. The record is from RNAcentral.